AACGCGAAGAACCUUACCUGGGCUCGAACGGCUUCGGACAAACUGUGGAAACACGGUCUUCCCGCAAGGGACUGGAGUCGAGGUGCUGCAUGGCUGUCGUCAGCUCGUGUCGUGAGAUGUUGGGUUAAGUCCCGCAACGAGCGCAACCCUUGUCCUGUGUUGGCAUGCCGUAAGGCGCAACUCUCAGGAGACCGCCAGCGAUAAGCUGGAGGAAGGUGGGGAUGACGUCAAGUCAUCAUGGCCUUUAUGUCCAGGGCCACACACGUGCUACAAUGGGCGGUACAAAGCGCUGCCAACCCGCGAGGGGGAGCUAAUCGCCAAAAACCGUCCUCAGUUCGGAUUGCAGGCUGCAACUCGCCUGCAUGAAGCUGGAAUCGCUAGUAAUGCUAUAUCAGAACGAUAGCGUGAAUACGUUCCCGGGCCUUGUA
This 428-nucleotide ribosomal RNA is filed under the name uncultured Acidobacterium sp. RNAcentral's name for it is "bacterial SSU rRNA". It matches the Rfam family "Bacterial small subunit ribosomal RNA", at positions 958 to 1385 of the family's 1533-position model. Lineage: Bacteria; Pseudomonadati; Acidobacteriota; Terriglobia; Terriglobales; Acidobacteriaceae. The record is from RNAcentral.